RNAcentral lists this ribosomal RNA (440 nucleotides) under uncultured bacterium. RNAcentral describes it as "partial 16S ribosomal RNA". It matches the Rfam family "Bacterial small subunit ribosomal RNA", at positions 338 to 795 of the family's 1533-position model. The record is from RNAcentral.
CCUACGGGGGGCAGCAGUGGGGAAUAUUGCACAAUGGGGGAAACCCUGAUGCAGCAACGCCGCGUGAGUGAAGAAGUAUUUCGGCACGUAAAGCUCUAUCAGCAGGGAAGAAGAUGACGGUACCUGAGCAAGAAGCCCCGGCUAACUACGUGCCAGCAGCCGCGGUAAUACGUAGGGGGCAAGCGUUAUCCGGAUUUACUGGGUGUAAAGGGAGCGUAGGCGGGAAGACAAGUCUGGAGUGAAAGCCCGGGGCUCAACCCCGGGAGUGCUUUGGAAACUGGUUGUCUGGAGUGCUGGAGAGGCAGGCGGAAUGCCUAGUGUAGCGGUGAAAUGCGUAGAUAUUAGGAAGAACACCAGUGGCGAAGGCGGCAUGCUGGACAGUAACUGACGUUGAGGCUCGAAAGCGUGGGGAGCAAACAGGAUUAGAUACCCCUGUAGUC